CUACGGGACGCUGCAGUGAGGAAUAUUGCACAAUGGGGGGAACCCUGAUGUAGCAACGCCGCGUGGAGGAUGACGCAUUUCGGUGUGUAAACUCCUUUUAUAUGUCAAGAAAAUGACGGUGGCAUAUGAAUAAGCACCGGCUAACUCCGUGCCAGCAGCCGCGGUAAUACGGAGGGUGCAAGCGUUACUCGGAAUCACUGGGCGUAAAGGACGCGUAGGCGGGUUGGAAAGUCAGGUGUGAAAUCAUACAGCUUAACUGUAGAACUGCACUUGAAACUUCUAAUCUAGAGUAUGGGAGGGGGAGAUGGAAUUAGUGGUGUAGGGGUAAAAUCCGUAGAUAUCACUAGGAAUACCUAAAGCGAAGGCGAUCUCCUGGAACAUUACUGACGCUAAGGCGUGAAAGCGUGGGGAGCAAACAGGAUUAGAUACCCCCGUAGUC
Molecule: ribosomal RNA, 439 nt
Filed under: uncultured bacterium
Lineage: Bacteria
Description: partial 16S ribosomal RNA
Rfam family: Bacterial small subunit ribosomal RNA
Source: RNAcentral